Molecule: long non-coding RNA, 260 nt
Filed under: Nicotiana benthamiana
Lineage: Eukaryota; Viridiplantae; Streptophyta; Magnoliopsida; Solanales; Solanaceae
Description: long non-coding RNA (NBEN_LNC041057)
Source: RNAcentral
UUCUCUUCUCUCUCACUCAAACUUUCCCAUCCAAAGCCGCUGCUGCCACCAAUGAACAGCACUCGCCGGCGCCGCUACAGGUCCGUGGAGACCCUCCACUUACAGGUAAGCUCUUUAGAUGGGUCUUUUUUUUUGGGGGGCAUUUUGCUUAAAUUUGUCACUUGCUCUAUUAUGUUUUUGGAUAUCAAUAUUAGUAGUAUUAUUGUCUUUUUAUGUGCUCUUUUUUGUUUAUUGAAAAACAAGUGUUGUAUUAGUAGCAC